AAACACGAUAAUUAUUAACGACUCUCGACAACGGAUAUCUCGGCUCUCGCAUCGAUGAAGAACGUAGCGAAAUGCGAUACUUGGUGUGAAUUGCAGAAUCCCGUGAACCAUCGAGUCUUUGAACGCAAGUUGCGCCCGAAGCCUUCUGGCCGAGGGCACGUCUGCCUGGGCGUCAUG
This 177-nucleotide ribosomal RNA is filed under the name Plumbago auriculata (Cape leadwort). Its description in RNAcentral is "5.8S ribosomal RNA". The stretch from base 20 to 175 matches the Rfam family "5.8S ribosomal RNA". Rfam says of the family: 5.8S ribosomal RNA (5.8S rRNA) is a component of the large subunit of the eukaryotic ribosome. It is transcribed by RNA polymerase I as part of the 45S precursor that also contains 18S and 28S rRNA. Functionally, it is thought that 5.8S rRNA may be involved in ribosome translocation. Lineage: Eukaryota; Viridiplantae; Streptophyta; Magnoliopsida; Caryophyllales; Plumbaginaceae. The record is from RNAcentral.